CCGUAGGUGAACCUGCGGAAGGAUCAUUACAGUGAGAUUUUAGGGGGUUAGAUGCCAGGGCCCGCGAGGGUCAGCGUGCGCGCCCCCGUUCUACUAGUCCCUUACACCCCGUGCACCUAUAUGGGUUGGGAUGCCUCGCGAGAGGCGUCCCCUCCCCUUCACACACGCCUGUCCAAACGCAUGUCUUUAAAGCCCCACGGGGUUUAGUUGGUAAAUAUAACUUUCGACAACGGAUCUCUUGGCUUUUGCAUCGAUGAAGGACGCCGCGAAAGUGCGAAACGUAAUGUGAAUUGCAGAAUUCAGUGAAUCAUCGAAUCUUUGAACGCAUCUUGCGCCCCUUGGUAUUCCGAGGGGCAUGCCUGUUUGAGUGUCGUGACCUCCCUCAACGACCUUUCCUUUGUUUCCUUUCGGAAAACAAAGGGAGGGGGCGGUUGGAUUUGGACGUCUGCGGCGGGGUCUUACCCCGUCGCUCGUCUCUAAAUGCAUUAGCAGCCGGUCUCCUUUAAGGUGAAGUCGGUCCAGACGACGGUGUGAUAAUUGAGACGCCUUGCCGUCGAGCGCCGUCAGGGUCGACCUUUUUGCCUUGGGGGGCCAUUGCUUUGUUGGACGUAUGUCGCUUCAGUGCCAUCUGACCUCAAAUCAGGUAGGAUUACCCGCCGAACUUAAGCAUAUCAAUAAGCGGAGGAAAAGAAACUAACGAGGAUUCCCCUAGUAACGGCGAGUGAAGCGGGAAGAGCUCAAAUUUGUAAUCUGGCGGCCCAUGGCCGUCCGAGUUGUAGUCUGGAGAAGCGUUUUCCGCUUCGGACCGUGUACAAGUCCCUUGGAACAGGGCGUCAUGGAGGGUGAGAACCCCGUCUCUGACACGGACUGCCGAAGCUUUUGCGAUG
RNAcentral lists this ribosomal RNA (887 nucleotides) under Ramaria sp. RNAcentral describes it as "eukaryotic LSU rRNA". The stretch from base 630 to 887 matches the Rfam family "Eukaryotic large subunit ribosomal RNA", at positions 1 to 253 of the family's 3401-position model. Lineage: Eukaryota; Fungi; Basidiomycota; Agaricomycetes; Gomphales; Gomphaceae. The record is from RNAcentral.